CAGCCAUCAAAGGUUGCAUUUAGUGCAAACUCAAGCACGUCAAUACUGCACAAGCUGAAAGCAGCAUUUUAGCUGCAGAUCUGCUGAAAGAUCUUUACAAAAUGAGGCAGUGGCCACCACGUCCUGGCUACCCAAGAAAACAAUAAAGAAGCUGCAAAUGAUCUCUAUUCCUGCUUGUUUGCUGACUCGUGAUGAAGAGUGUCGAGAGGCUGAUCAUGAGGCAUGUCAACUCCUGCCCAAGGAGUACCCGAAUCCUCUGCAACAGGGCAAAUUUGAAGACAGAAUAUCAUAUUAAUGGGAGCCUCAGAACAAAGAAACCCCAAAAGAACUCAUAAGAAAAAAGACCAUCAAACACCCAGUGCUAACAAUAAAAGUUCGCAAACAGCAUUCAGAAUGGAAUAUCGACUCGGCAUUCAGAUACAAUCACAAGGAGAGAGCACCAGUGCCUUUGGUUUCUUAGGAGGUUAAGGAGGAUUGACUUGUCACCGAACACUCUGACAGAUCAUUACAGAUGCACUGUUGAUAUCCUGUCUGGUCACAUCAUGGUCCUGUGCGGCUUUGAACAGGAACACAAAUUGUGUGACAUCCAUCAAAAACCACUGCUAUCUAUCCCACACCAUCUCCUCAUAGCUACCAGUGGGCAGGAGGUUUUAUUUCAGAAGACCCGUCCUGGCCCAGCACUUAAGUGCAGUUAUGAAGAAAGCACGGCAGUGCCUUUACUUCCUUAGGAGUCUCUGGAGAUUCGGCAUGAUAUGUAAAACUUUGACAAACUUCUAUAGAUGUGUAGUGGAGACUGUACUGACUGUCUAUAUCACAGCCUGGUACAGAAACACCAAUGCCUUUGAAUGGAAAAUCCUACAAAAUGUACUGGGCCAAAUCCACUACAUCACGUGUAAAGCCCUCCCAGCCACUGAGCACAUUGACAUAAAACAUUGUCGUAGAAAAGCAGCAUCCAUCAUCAGAGACCCUCAGCACCCAGGCCAUGCUCUUUUCUCACUGCUGCCAUCAGGUAGAAGGUGCAAGAGCCUCAGGACUCGCACCACCAGGUUCAAGAACAGUUACUACCCCUCAACCAUCAGGCUCUUGAACAAAAGGGGAUAACCACACUCACUUGCCCCAUCAUUGAAAUGCUCACACAGCCAAUGAACUCACUUUAAGGACUCUUCAUCUCAUGUUCUCGUUAUUUAUUUGUACUUGUACAGUUUGUUGACUUCUGCACUGUGGUUCAUCUUUCAUUGCUUGUGUUAUAGUUACUGUUCCGUAGGUUUACUGAGUGUGCCUGAAGGAAGAUAAGUCUCAGGAUCUUUAUGGUGACGUACAUUUACUUUGACUUUUGUCUAGUGGAGAAUGAGUAAGCCAUGGAGAACGAUUUUUUUUGUUGAUUGCUAAUUUGAACAGCAUUUGACCCCUCAUUAUGCUAAGCAAAUCACUAAUUUCGAUUAUAUAUCGAAUUAGACCGCUUAGUCACAUGAUUUGAACGCUAAGAUCGCUAUAUUGUGAAUUUAGUUUAAUUAGUCUUUUUAAUAAA
Long non-coding RNA from Mobula hypostoma (lesser devil ray), 1528 nucleotides. RefSeq lists it as uncharacterized. The transcript has 3 exons. Lineage: Eukaryota; Metazoa; Chordata; Chondrichthyes; Myliobatiformes; Myliobatidae. The record is from RefSeq and is a predicted model, not a curated record.